Molecule: long non-coding RNA, 724 nt
Filed under: Aedes aegypti (yellow fever mosquito)
Lineage: Eukaryota; Metazoa; Arthropoda; Insecta; Diptera; Culicidae
Description: lncRNA AAEL025102
Source: RNAcentral
GAUACACUAUCAUUGCAAGAGAAGGAGCGAAGGUUGUCCUUCGUAGCGACAGAGGCGUUCAGUACUCACGCAAUGUCCAAGAUGUAAAGAAAGUUCCAGAUUGUCUGAAGGAACCCGUAGAUGGCACGAUGAUUGAUGAAAGUACAAAUGAUUCGUGUAAAACAGAUGUGGAUCUCGAUGGAAGCUUACCUGCAAUCGAAGUGAACUCUGGAGCAGUUGAAGAGGAGGAGCGGCCAAGGAGGACAAUUAAGAAACCAAAUAGGUUCAAGGAUAUGGUGCUUUACUAUAUCUUUUAAAAUAAUUACAGAUUCAUCCUACGACGACACUUAUUGGAUUCCGGAUUUGAGCAAGCCUAUAGCUACUGAAUGGAGGAGUAUGAAACAAUGUAGUGAUACUAAUGGAAAUGGUUCAUCGUACGGCAACAACUAUUCGAUCCUGGGUUGGAGCUCGUCUGAAACAUUCAAAUGAUUUUUAUCGAUAUGAUUCAAAAUAUAAGAAUUACGACAUUGUAAUAGAAAAAAAAGAACAGAAUAUAUGAUUGCAAUACAAAAUAAACAAAAUGGAGCUAGUAAUUAGAACACUUUAUAAAUUUUGAACAAGAGUAGAGGUGAAGAGUAUUGUAGAAUAAAUGAGCUGUGCAAGGUAAUACAAUAGUAAUAAAAUUUUGUAAAAACAAGACCUAAUUGAAUUUUAUGUUGGAAAUGUGCAUAAAAGAAAAGCAAGU